Molecule: long non-coding RNA, 701 nt
Organism: Equus quagga
Lineage: Eukaryota; Metazoa; Chordata; Mammalia; Perissodactyla; Equidae
Exons: 4
Source: RefSeq, a predicted model, not a curated record
CUCGGGCGCCCUUGGGAGCCGCCCCAGUGGGCGUGUUGCUGUCCAGAGUUUCACUCCCAAGGCUUUCUGGAGAGGGAGCAUGGUAGAAAGGAAGGAAGCUUUGUUGUCACAGAGAGAAGCAGAACUGCUGGAUCGAAGAGCAAGUAUUUUCUUUCCAGUGAUUGUACCAAAUUUCCCUUCAAAUACUCGUGUGUAAUUUUGGACGAUGACGAAUAAGGCUGCUGUGAACAUUCUGGAACAUGUCUUUUGGUGCACACGGAGAGGAAAUGCUAGGCCCUCGGGCAAGCACAUGUUCAUCUUUAGUCAUGUACUUAGUACUUUCGUACGGUUUAGUCCUUCUUGUGCUGAUGCUGUGGGUGCCCACAGAUCCUCCCUCCACGACCAAACACUGGUUCCCCACCUGUCAGGACGUUGGCUGCUGAUGGCUCUCAGCUGAGACCCCUCCCCAGGCACUGCACUCAGCUGAAGGGAGCUGCCUGGCCAGACAAUGUACCCCUAGCCUGGUGGCAGCCCAGAUGCAAUGACUGAUGGAUGUGAGGAUAGAAAAGUCCAGCCCCCAUGUUAAUUGUGGACAUCUGUGAAGGGCCAUCCCAGCUUCAGAGCUCCCCAAGGGAUCUCCUGGGGUCUCCAUUACAAUGUUGAAUAGAAACAGUGAGGGUGAACCCCUGUGCCUUGUUACCAAUGUGAAGGGGAAAGCAACC